Triticum aestivum (bread wheat) is the source of this 1378-nucleotide long non-coding RNA. RefSeq lists it as uncharacterized. NCBI's taxonomy places the organism in Eukaryota, Viridiplantae, Streptophyta, Magnoliopsida, Poales, Poaceae. The transcript is spliced from 3 exons. The record is from RefSeq and is a predicted model, not a curated record.
GGCAUAUCUGUCCGCCGUUCCCCAUUCUCAACGUGCACAUUCACUCCACCGCCCCCGCUACCCCUAUCCAGCUCGUCAGGCCGGCCCUCACCCACACCGCGCCCUGCAUCUGCCGCUGCGUCUGCCGCCCGUGCCACGCCCAACUACGCCUGCCGCCCGUGCCGCGCCCAGCUGCGUCUGCCGCCGGCGCCAAAUCUCUGCUAGCGGGAGCAGAAGGAUAGGAAGGAGAGAACCGCAUGCACUGACUUUCUUCCCCAUCGCCGGCGCUAGGUUUAGACGGCCCCUUCUCGUCGAAUCCGGCCGCGACGUAGUCCCCGAGGAGGCGCUCGAGCUCUAUCGGGCGACCCAGCGCAAGGCGGCGUCUGAGGCGGAUGCAGAGGUGUCGGAUUCGUCUCCACCGGAUCGGCGGCUGCGGCACCAGAUGCAGCGGAUCGGGCGCUUCUCUUUCACCGGCGAGCUGCCCGUCGGCCUGCGUAGGGGGAGGAGUCGAAGGAGCUGGUGUCGCGCUCAUUCUCGCGUUGGCCCGAUGUGAGAACUCCUCGCCUUGGCCCGAUGUGAGAACUCCUCGCCUUGGCCCAAUGUGAGAACUCCCGCUCCGCGCGCCGCUCGCAGCUGCAAAAGAACAUUGAAGGGAUGCUCGUGGAAGAUGAGGUCAAGAAGGUACGAGAAGAACGUUGAUGGGAUGCUCACGGAAGAUGAGGUCAAGAAGGUGGAUACGCCCAUGAUGCAUAGGAUGGCGAAAGAGGUGCAGGGAGCCGACGGCCUGUCCGCAGUGAGGAAGUGAUGGAGGAACAGCCACCCACUUGAGGGUGGGUACACGGUAGCAAGGGCGCCAACUGGGAAGGCGACGCUGCUGCCGGGCGGCGAGGUCGUCGUCCACCAAGGCGAUGAUGCUUCCGUGCGGCGAGGGGAUCCUCCUCAGUGAGGAGGUGAUGAGGAACAACCACGCACUUGAUGGGUGGGUACAGGGCGGCGAGGGCGCCGACCAGGAAGGGGACUCGGCUGCCGGGCGGCGAGGUCGUCGUCCACCAAGGCGACGAAGCUUCCGUGCGGCGAGGCGAUCAACCUGGGGAUCUGUUUCUAUUUUUAUGGGAUAUACGCAUGUUUUUUUUUCUUUGCAUGGCCUAUGUGAUGCGUGAUUGUAGGGGGUUUGGUCGAGUGCGUGUGGGGUCUCUAUUUUUCUCCGCGGUGGAGUACGGUCAGCGAAGUUAAAUCGGUAAGUGCACACCAGAAACGUAUCAGAUUACAAGGCUAGCCGUUGGAUUGUGAUUAGUGGGCCUGAUCAUGUGGUGGUAUUGGGUCUCUGUACGGUUUGCGGGGUGCGUUUAGUGAAGUUCUUGUUUGAUUGUUUAAUAGUAGUGAAGAUAAUUUGAUUGGA